Molecule: ribosomal RNA, 422 nt
Filed under: uncultured bacterium
Lineage: Bacteria
Description: partial 16S ribosomal RNA
Rfam family: Bacterial small subunit ribosomal RNA
Source: RNAcentral
AAUCUUCCACAAUGGACGGAAGUCUGAUGGAGCAACGCCGUGUGAGCGAAGAAGGUUUUCGGAUCGUAACGCUCUGUUGUAAGGGAAGAACACGUCCGGGAGUCACUGCCCGUACCUCGACGGUACAUUAUCAGAAUGCCACGGUGAACUACGGGCCAGCCGCCGCGGUAGUACGUAGGUGGCAAGCGUUGUCCGUACUUGUUGGGCGUAAAGCGCGAGCAGGCGGUCCUUUAAGUCUGAUGUGAAAGCCCACGGCUCAACCGUGGAGGGUCAUUGGAAACUGAAGGACUUGAGUACAAAAGAGGAAAGCGGAAUUCCACGUGUAGCGGUGAAAUGCAUAGAGAUGUGGAGGAACACCAGUGGCGAAGGCGGCUUUCUGGUCUGUAACUGACGCUGAGGCGCGAAAGCGUGGGGAGCAAACA